CAGAGCCGGAUGAUGGGAAACCAUCACGUCCGGUUCGGCGGGAGGCCGCGCGGAAAGGACCUGCCCAGCAGACACCUCGCCGCGCGGCCGACCCAAC
RNAcentral lists this non-coding RNA (97 nucleotides) under Actinacidiphila cocklensis. The record is from RNAcentral. Lineage: Bacteria; Bacillati; Actinomycetota; Actinomycetes; Kitasatosporales; Streptomycetaceae.